AGAGUUUGAUUAUGGCUCAGAAUGAACGUUGGCGGCGUGGAUUAGGCAUGCAAGUCGUUCGUCCCGCAAGAGGGGGCGGCAAGGGUGAGUAAGGCGACGGUAACCAACCCCGAGGCCGGGCAUAGCGUUCGAAAGGACGGGUAAUUCCCGGCGGUCUCGCGUGGAGGCAUCUCCGUGCGAGUAAAGGUGCGAUUCCGCCUCGGGACGGGCCGUCGUGAUAUCAGGUUGUUGGCGGGGUCACGGCCCACCAAGCCUACGACGUCUACCGGGCGUGCGAGCGUGGCCCGGCACACUGGGACUGAGACACUGCCCAGACACCUACGGGUGGCUGCAGUCGAGAAUCUUCGGCAAUGGGCGCAACGUGACCGAGCGACGCCGCGUGGAGGAUGAAGGCCUUCGGGUUGUAAACUCCUGUCGAGGGGGAACAAGGCGCCGUGCAGAACGGUCCGAGUGAGUCCCUGGAGGAAGGACGGGCUAAGUUCGUGCCAGCAGCGCGGUAAGACGAACGUGCGAACGUUAUUUCGGAUUCACUGGGCUUAAAGCGCGUGUAGGCGGCCCCGACACGUCGUCGCUGAAUUCCCCGGCUAAACGGGAAACGGGCGCGGAUACGAUAGGGGCUGGAGGCGGNUAGGGGGAGUAGGAACUUCUGGUGGAGCGGUGAAAUGCGUUGAGAUCGGAAGGAACGCCCGUGGGCAAAGCGGACUCCUGGACCGGACCUGACGCUGAGACGCGAAACGUAGGGGAGCAAACGGGAUUAGAUACCCCGGUAGUCCUANNNUAAACCAUGGGCACUGGGUAGGGGACUCGCCGAUGGGUUCCCUGCCGCAGCGAAACGGUGAAGUGCCCCGCCUGGGAGUAUGGUCGCAAGGCUGAAACUCAAAGGAAUUGACGGGGGCUCACACAAGCGGUGGAGCAUGUGGCUUAAUUCGAGGCUACGCGCAAAACCUUAUCCCAGGCUUGACAUGCACGGAUUAGCCGGCGGAAACGUCGGUGAGGCCGCAAGGUACAACGUGCACAGGUGCUGCAUGGCUGUCGUCAGCUCGUGCCGUGAGUGUUGGGUUAAGUCCAGUAACGAGCGAAACCCCUGUCUCUAGUUGCCAGCGCGUCAAGGUGGGCACUCUAGAGAGACCGCCGGCGUCAAGGCAGGAAGGCGGGGAUGACGUCACGUCUCAUGGCCCUUAUGCUGGGCUGCACACGUGUACAAUGGGCGGACAAGCGUGCCAAGGCGCAAGCCCGAGCUAAUCGCCGAAACCGUUCCUCAGUUCGGAUCGGCGGCUGCAACCCGCCCGCGUGAAGCCGGAAUCGAUAGUAAUCGCGGAUCAGCAUUGCCGCGGUGAAUGUGUUCCUGAGCCUUGUACACACCGCCCGUCAAGCCACCAAAGGGGGGGGCACCCGAAGUCGCCGGCGCUCGCAAGAGCAGGCGCCGAAGGUGAGAACCCUGAUGGGGACUAAGUCGUAACAAGGUAACCGUAGGGGAACCUGCGGUUGGAUCACCUCCUUUCU
Molecule: ribosomal RNA, 1503 nt
Filed under: uncultured sludge bacterium A19
Lineage: Bacteria; Pseudomonadati; Planctomycetota; Planctomycetia; Planctomycetales
Description: 16S ribosomal RNA
Rfam family: Bacterial small subunit ribosomal RNA
Source: RNAcentral